Molecule: unclassified non-coding RNA, 337 nt
Filed under: soil metagenome
Description: partial contains 5.8S ribosomal RNA, internal transcribed spacer 2, and large subunit ribosomal RNA
Rfam family: 5.8S ribosomal RNA (bases 1-120)
Source: RNAcentral
GAUGAAGAACGUAGCGAAAUGCGAUAAGUAAUGCGAAUUGCAGGUUUCAGUGAGUCAUCGAAUCUUUGAACGCACAUUGCGCCCGCCAGUAUUCUGGCGGGCAUGCCUGUUCGAGCGUCAUUUCAACCAUCAAGCCCCCGGGCUUGCGUUGGGGCCCUGCGGCUGCCGCAGGCCCCGAAAAGCAGUGGCGGGCUCGCUGUCACACCGAGCGCAGUAGCGAUUCUCGCUCCGGGCGUCGGCGGCGGGCACCGGCCGUGAAACCCCCCCACAUCCACAAGGUUGACCUCGGAUCAGGUAGGAAUACCCGCUGAACUUAAGCAUAUCAAUAAGCGGAGGA